UAAGACAGUCCAUUUCAUGGGCACUCUCGUUUAGCUCUUCCCUUCGUUUUCUCAGCACAGAUUCAUAGCUUUCAUGGGUAAAGUCCGGUGAAGUCUCUCUUUUCCGGCCUUCUUCAAGACAAAGGUCCUCAACAGUUUGCAGUGCUCCCUCGUAGCCUAAGUGCUCGCAUUUUCUCUCGAAGAGGUUCUGCAAGUCAUGGACCUCCUUCUCAAGAAUCUCCAUGGUCUUUUGUUCUUGAUUUGUUUUCUCUUCCACUGUGCGCAUCCAAAUCGCAGUUUGUUCCCCACUAGAGGGUCCUGAGAAGAUCCAUGAUAGAAAACCAUCCGCACCAGCAGACACAUUAUUGCCAUUAGCAAUAUCUUCAGAACUGGCAAUAUCUCCAUUAUUCAAUGCUGAGCCCAUAUGUUUCUCUUGGAUGCACUCUGAGCCAAGCAAUUUUUCAUCCAGAAGAAGACAUGACCCUUCACCAUCAAGAAAAAUCUCUUCUGUAAUUUGAAGACCCAGGUCAACUUCAUCGUUGGGGUUACUUUGUUCCGAAUAUCGACUCACCCCACAGGCAUGUGACAAGUCUUGCAGGAAUUGAAGAAUUUUCUUGAGCUGGGUAGCUCCCAAGAAGCGUAUGCAUAUGGGUGACUGACCCAAACCACGAUUUAAGAAUUGCGAAACCGAGGGUAGAUUCCGUAGUUCAUCCAGAGUAAACUGUAUCACCUUAUCAUAAUGGCUGGUAGCUAAAUAACUGUGUUUGAUAAGUAGCUCAAAUGCUGCACGGAUGCUUUUAAGGAGCUUUGUACGUUCCGGAUCAUCGGAUAUCGGCCAUUCAUCAGUAAGACAAAACGGAUUUGACAGCCUAUCCUUUUCCGACUCAUUCUUCUCAUAACCGUUGCAAGCAUCUCCAAUGUUUUCUUUUUCUGGUGAAGUGUCAUUCCAUGCAUCCUGGAAGCAAUCGUCACCAUCGUCCAUGUAACCUCCAGCGUAAAACUCACUAAACUCAGAAUUUUGGAUUUUCUGCUGGCUGCAAAGCAACUUCACCGCUGCAGGAAAAUCCAAUGGUUUCCAUGGGGAAGUAAGAAGCAUCUCAAUCCUCUCACUGUCGAGACUCUGAGGCAAAACCAUUUGCAUCUUAGGAAAAACAUUACCCAUAUGCUCCCCUACAAUAUGCUGCAUAUAAGACUCAGAAUCCUUGAACUUUUCACUACACUUGCAGCAAACCCAAAACCGCCAAGUCUUAUUAGCUUCACAAAAGGACAAAGCUUCAGUUAUUAUAUCAUUUGCAUCGCCAUCCUUGGAUGCACUAAAGUGACUCUUAAGAUCACUAACCUUAAUCCUAAGUAAUUCUUUUUUCAUUUCUUUGCUUGUAGACUCCCAAUAUGAUCUAACCCGAUCUCUUCUCUCUACUGUAGAGCCGUUCUUCCUUGCAUUCCCAUGCUUUCUCCUCUCCCCGCUUCUCUGACCCGAGCCUAAUGCUGGAUCUGAUCCCUUGCUGUUAACGCUAUCUACCGAGGAAGAUUCUGAUUUCUGCUGCAACAACCUACCUGCAGCCACUCUCACUUCAAUCUCCUUCCUCUUCUCUUCAAGAGUCUUGGUAGCUUUCUUAAUCUCGUUCGGCCUUCUGGUCUGAACCAAGUUACUCUCAAUAGGAUCCUCAGCCAUCUUCCUCAUGUCAAACAACCGAAACUCCCCUUCUCCAUUUCCCAGAUGUUUCAUCCAGUCAGCCUCUGAGGGAUCACCAAAAGAUGCAACCGAAGGGAGGCUGGAACAAGAAAUCAUCAAAGAAAAAUCAUUUACCACCAAUUUUCAGGACGAAAAUAAAUUAUCCCGGUUAAGUAUUUAAACUAAUUUUUUUACAUAAAAGAUCUUCACCUGUGUUCAACUGAAUCAACAUUGAAGCGAUGGUCGUUUCCAACAGAAGCCUAUAGCAAAACAUUAAAGCUAGUUACAAAUAUAGACAAGAAAUAGUUAAAAAGUAGACAACAGAUUAGUUCUAACCUUUGAAUCCUUCAAUUUUUUAGAGUGUUUAUUCUUUUUCUUAUCCUUGGACUUUUCUUGGGUGUGUUUAGAAUGAUCAUUUCUUCCUCGGGCCUCCUUCUUAGAAUCAAGAGCGAGCUCAACGAGAAACGCUUUGCUUGCAGCAUCAGACUUCUCAGUGGCAUCUUUCUCUGCCAAUGCCUCCAAAUGUGCCUGGAAAGAGAGAAAAGUGGAAUCAAAACCCGAAAGAACCCUACACCUAAAGGGUAGGAAACAUAACAAGGUCUAAUGAGUUAGAUACUUACCCGCAUGUAAGACCUGACCAACGGUAACAGUACUAUCUGAUAAUCAUUGGAUGAAGCAGGUCCAAGCCUUAGCUCUAAUUGCUGCACCACAGUAACACCGCGCAUCAUUCUUGCAUCGAUUCUGUUAAGCUGUAAUACACACAUACGGAAUAUUUGUUUAGGAACAAGGCAGUUAUCAAUUAUUCUCAGUCGUGUUGUGUAAAGAUAGAAAAGGUUACCUCUGUAGACAACUGCUCCUUUUGUUUCUGGAUCGCAGUCUCUAUGAAACUGUCAGCUUCACUAAAAGAAUCUUUCAUCCCCCAUUCAUCAGCUUCACCAGAUUCUAGGUCACGUAGCUGAGAACUAGUGCAUGUAUAUGUUUCUUCAUAUCCAAACUGAUUGCGGUUAACAGUGUCUGCGUCUCUCAAAACAUUUUUUAUAGCUUCUAAUUCAAAGCUACUACUAAGACAGUCCAUUUCAUGGGCACUCUCGUUUAGCUCUUCCCUUCGUUUUCUCAGCACAGAUUCAUAGCUUUCAUGAGUAAAGUCCGGUGAAGUCUCUCUUUUCCGGCCUUCUUCAAGACAAAGGUCCUCAACAGUUUGCAGUGCUCCCUCGUAGCCUAAGUGCUCGCAUUUUCUCUCGAAGAGGUUCUGCAAGUCAUGGACCUCCUUCUCAAGAAUCUCCAUGGUCUUUUGUCCUUGAUUUGUUUUCUCUUCCACUGUGCGCAUCCAAAUCGCAGUUUGUUCCCCACUAGAGGGUCCUGAGAAGAUCCAUGAUAGAAAACCAUCCGCACCA
This 3045-nucleotide long non-coding RNA is filed under the name Brassica napus (rape). RNAcentral describes it as "long non-coding RNA (BNAP_LNC025543)". The record is from RNAcentral. Lineage: Eukaryota; Viridiplantae; Streptophyta; Magnoliopsida; Brassicales; Brassicaceae.